CUACGGAGGAUGCGAGCGUUAUCCGGAUUUAUUGGGUUUAAAGGGUGCGUAGGCUGUGCGUUAAGUCAGGGGUGAAAUGCCGUCGCUCAACGACGGAGCUGCCCUUGAUACUGGCGUGCUGGAGUACGGAUGCCGUUGGAGGAAUGAGUGGUGUAGCGGUGAAAUGCUUAGAUAUCACUCAGAACACCGAUUGCGAAGGCAUCUGACGAAUCCGUCACUGACGCUGAGGCACGAAAGCGUGGGGAUAGAACAGGAUUAGAUACCCUGGUAUUCCACGCCGUAAACGAUGAUGACUAACCGUCGGCGAUAGACAGCCGGUGGCCAAGCGAAAGCGAUAAGUCAUCCACCUGGGGAGUACGUCGGCAACGAUGAAACUUAAAGGAAUUGACGGGG
Molecule: ribosomal RNA, 393 nt
Filed under: uncultured bacterium
Lineage: Bacteria
Description: partial 16S ribosomal RNA
Rfam family: Bacterial small subunit ribosomal RNA
Source: RNAcentral